This 526-nucleotide ribosomal RNA is filed under the name uncultured bacterium. RNAcentral describes it as "bacterial SSU rRNA". It matches the Rfam family "Bacterial small subunit ribosomal RNA", at positions 773 to 1294 of the family's 1533-position model. The record is from RNAcentral.
AGGGAAUAGAUACCCGGGUAGUCCACGCCCUAAACGAUGUCAACUAGUUGUUGGGGGAGUAAAAUCCCUUAGUAACGCAGCUAAACGCGUGAAAGUUGACCGCCUGGGGAGUACGGUCGCAAGAUUAAAACUCAAAGGAAUUGACGGGGCCCGCACAAGCGGUGGAUUAUGUGGAUUAAUUCGAUGCAACGCGAAAAACCUUACCUGGCCUUGACAUGCCACUAACGAAGCAGAGAUGCAUUAGGUGCCCGAAAGGGAAAGUGGACACAGGUGCUGCAUGGCUGUCGUCAGCUCGUGUCGUGAGAUGUUGGGUUAAGUCCCGCAACGAGCGCAACCCUUGCCAAUAAUUGCCAUCAUUCAGUUGGGCACUUUAUUGGGACUGCCGGUGACAAACCGGAGGGAGGUGGGGAUGACGUCAAGUCCUCAUGGCCCUUAUGGCCAGGGCUUCACACGUAAUACAAUGGUCGGUACAGAGGGUUGCCAACCCGCGAGGGGGUAGCCAAUCCCAGAAAGCCGAUCGUAGUCC